RNAcentral lists this ribosomal RNA (721 nucleotides) under Serratia nematodiphila. RNAcentral describes it as "bacterial SSU rRNA". It matches the Rfam family "Bacterial small subunit ribosomal RNA", at positions 8 to 718 of the family's 1533-position model. Lineage: Bacteria; Pseudomonadati; Pseudomonadota; Gammaproteobacteria; Enterobacterales; Yersiniaceae. The record is from RNAcentral.
AGAGUUNGAUCCUGGCUCAGAUUGAACGCUGGCGGCAGGCUUAACACAUGCAAGUCGAGCGGUAGCACAGGGGAGCUUGCUCCUCGGGUGACGAGCGGCGGACGGGUGAGUAAUGUCUGGGAAACUGCCUGAUGGAGGGGGAUAACUACUGGAAACGGUAGCUAAUACCGCAUAACGUCGCAAGACCAAAGAGGGGGACCUUCGGGCCUCUUGCCAUCAGAUGUGCCCAGAUGGGAUUAGCUAGUAGGUGGGGUAAUGGCUCACCUAGGCGACGAUCCCUAGCUGGUCUGAGAGGAUGACCAGCCACACUGGAACUGAGACACGGUCCAGACUCCUACGGGAGGCAGCAGUGGGGAAUAUUGCACAAUGGGCGCAAGCCUGAUGCAGCCAUGCCGCGUGUAUGAAGAAGGCCUUCGGGUUGUAAAGCACUUUCAGCGAGGAGGAAGGUGGUGAGCUUAAUACGCUCAUCAAUUGACGUUACUCGCAGAAGAAGCACCGGCUAACUCCGUGCCAGCAGCCGCGGUAAUACGGAGGGUGCAAGCGUUAAUCGGAAUUACUGGGCGUAAAGCGCACGCAGGCGGUUUGUUAAGUCAGAUGUGAAAUCCCCGGGCUCAACCUGGGAACUGCAUUUGAAACUGGCAGGCUUGAGUCUCGUAGAGGGGGGUAGAAUUCCAGGUGUAGCGGUGAAAUGCGUAGAGAUCUGGAGGAAUACCGNNGGCGA